RNAcentral lists this ribosomal RNA (301 nucleotides) under uncultured bacterium. RNAcentral's name for it is "partial 16S ribosomal RNA". It matches the Rfam family "Bacterial small subunit ribosomal RNA", at positions 509 to 807 of the family's 1533-position model. The record is from RNAcentral.
CAGUAGCCGCGGUAAUACGUAGGUGGCAAGCAUUGUCCGGAAUUAUUGGGCGUAAAGGGCUCGCAGGCGGUUUCUUAAGUCUGAUGUGAAAGCCCCCGGCUCAACCGGGGAGGGUCAUUGGAAACUGGGAAACUUGAGUGCAGAAGAGGAGAGUGGAAUUCCACGUGUAGCGGUGAAAUGCGUAGAGAUGUGGAGGAACACCAGUGGCGAAGGCGACUCUCUGGUCUGUAACUGACGCUGAGGAGCGAAAGCGUGGGGAGCGAACAGGAUUAGAUACCCCAGUAGUCCCUGUCUCUUAUAC